RNAcentral lists this small RNA (732 nucleotides) under Pongo abelii (Sumatran orangutan). RNAcentral describes it as "processed transcript". Lineage: Eukaryota; Metazoa; Chordata; Mammalia; Primates; Hominidae. The record is from RNAcentral.
ACAGAGUACAACAAAGUGCCUGAAUUGAGUGAUUCCUCCUAGUAUUAAGAUUUUAUCAUUUUAAUUAUUAUUAUUUUUUUAUCUAGCAGUUUCUUAACGACUUUGAUUGUUGGAAGGUCAAAAUGCUCUUUUAUUUUGGUACUUGUUCAGGUUCAAGAAUUAAAAACUUAAGAUGGGGGAAGAAGGCUUUGCUUUCUCUAACUCUUAUUUUCUGUAGGUACUUCGUAACUCAGGAAGACCUCAUUUAUUCCCAGUAAUAUGUUUUACUAAACUCUUUCAGUUAUCAGAGACUAUUACAGACGAUUGCUGUACUCGAGGCUCAGCGUUCUCAAGCAGUCCAAGACCUUGAAAGUUUAGGCAGGCACCAGAGAGAAGCACUAAAAAAUCCCAUUGGAUUUGUGGAAAAACUCCAGAAGAAGGCUGAUAUUGGGCUUCCAUAUCCACAGAGAGUUGUUCAGUUGCCUGAGAUCGUAUGGGACCAAUAUACCCAUAGCCUUGGGAACUUUGAAAGAGAAUUUAAAAAUCGUAAAAGACAUACUAGAAGAGUUAAGCUAGUUUUUGAUAAAGGUUUACCUGCUAGACCAAAAAGUCCUUUAGAUCCUAAGAAGGAUGGAGAGUCCCUUUCAUAUUCUAUGUUGCCUUUGAGUGAUGGUCCAGAAGGCUCAAGCACUCGUCCUCAGAUGAUAAGAGGACGCCUGUGUGAUGAUACCAAACCUGAAACAUUUAACCAAU